ACUAUUAAACAAUCAGUUUUCUCCUCCACUCGCACUAAAUAUCAAGAAUAACGGGAACGAUAAAGUAAAUGGUUCCUGAUGCAUUCAUAUUUCAACAAAGUGAACACUCUCCUAUUGAUGAACAACCUACACACGAUUACCAACAUUAAAACCCAACAAAAUUGCGCAAAGAUCUAAUGUUAUUGUAUAACACCUGUCAACAAUCAUACAAAAUUUUGAGACACACCCUUGGAUGUGUGAACCACUGCGAAAUGUUAUUCAACGUGCUGCUUGAAAAGUAUUUUCCAAGAUAGAAUUUUUGCCUCUUUAACCAUCUUCACAAUAGUUAUUUCCUCAUUUUGAAAAGUAUUUUAGUUUUUGGCGUCCCAUAUUGUCCCCACACACAUGAACCAUAACAUCACAUUCUUCUAAGGCGACUGACUACCUCUGCUCAACAGCCAUUCAAACUGCAAUAAAUGUUGUCAACAUUCAUUAUGCAUAGCAGUAGACACUCCCAGCCAUUAA
This 504-nucleotide long non-coding RNA is filed under the name Lathyrus oleraceus (garden pea). Its description in RNAcentral is "Pisum sativum (pea) long non-coding RNA (PSAT_LNC035847)". The record is from RNAcentral. Lineage: Eukaryota; Viridiplantae; Streptophyta; Magnoliopsida; Fabales; Fabaceae.